GAUGAACGCUGGCGGCGUGCCUAAUACAUGCAAGUCGAGCGAACAGACGAGGAGCUUGCUCCUCUGACGUUAGCGGCGGACGGGUGAGUAACACGUGGAUAACCUACCUAUAAGACUGGGAUAACUUCGGGAAACCGGAGCUAAUACCGGAUAAUAUAUUGAACCGCAUGGUUCAAUAGUGAAUGACGGUUUUGCUGUCACUUAUAGAUGGAUCCGCGCCGCAUUAGCUAGUUGGUAAGGUAACGGCUUACCAAGGCGACGAUGCGUAGCCGACCUGAGAGGGUGAUCGGCCACACUGGAACUGAGACACGGUCCAGACUCCUACGGGAGGCAGCAGUAGGGAAUAUUCCGCAAUGGGCGAAAGCCUGACGGAGCAACGCCGCGUGAGUGAUGAAGGUCUUCGGAUCGUAAAACUCUGUUAUUAGGGAAGAACAAAUGUGUAAGUAACUAUGCACGUCUUGACGGUACCUAAUCAGAAAGCCACGGCUAACUACGUG
Molecule: ribosomal RNA, 497 nt
Filed under: uncultured bacterium
Lineage: Bacteria
Description: partial 16S ribosomal RNA
Rfam family: Bacterial small subunit ribosomal RNA
Source: RNAcentral